This 468-nucleotide ribosomal RNA is filed under the name uncultured bacterium. RNAcentral describes it as "partial 16S ribosomal RNA". It matches the Rfam family "Bacterial small subunit ribosomal RNA", at positions 28 to 507 of the family's 1533-position model. The record is from RNAcentral.
GACGAACGCUGGCGGCGUGCUUAACACAUGCAAGUCGAACGGAAAGGCCCUGCUUUUGUGGGGUGCUCGAGUGGCGAACGGGUGAGUAACACGUGAGUAACCUGCCCUUGACUUUGGGAUAACUUCAGGAAACUGGGGCUAAUACCUGAUAGGUGCUCCUGCUGCAUGGUGGGGGUUGGAACGUUUCGGCGGUUGGGGAUAGACUCGCGGCUUAUCAGCUUGUUGGUGGGGUAGUGGCUUACCAAGGCUUUGACGGGUAGCCGGCCUGAGAGGGUGACCGGCGACAUUGGGACUACGAUACGGACCAGAGUCCUACGGGGGGCAGCGGUGGGGAGUAUUGCACAAUGGGCGGGAGCCUGAUGCAGAAGUGCCGGGUGCGGAAUGACGGCUUUCGGGUUGUAAACCGCAUUAGCCUGAGACGAAGCGUUUGUGACGGUAAUGGGUAAAGAAGCACCGGCUAACUACGUG